CGUUGUGCGUCCGUCCCGUGCUGUCGCGAGUACCGCGCCCGCGACAGUUUUUCGUCCGCAUUCGUUCGUCGUCUCGUUCAUUUUUAUUCUUUUCUUAUUUCUACGGGGUUAACCGUUUUUAUUGUUUUUUUUGUUAUUGUUUUUCAUCCCGGUGUAGUGCAACGGCCGGAGAAACUCGAUCGACAGAUUAUAUUAUAACGGCGUAGAAUAAACAAUAAUUGCCGCGCGGUGUUUUAUUCGUCGUCGACCGUGAAAAACCCGAAAAUAACGGUGUGAAAAUUUCGAAAAACUCGAAAAAAAAAAAAAAAAUUACGUUGCGGCGAUCUUUGUGUGCGGGCGCCGUAUCGCGUUCUAUUACGAAAAAAAAAAAAAAUAAUAAAAAAAUACAUAAUAUUUUUUUGGCAAUAUCGCGGUGCAAUAGUGCGCGUACGGUGUGCGUUCGGGAUAUUGAGUAAACACGAACGCGGUGCGGUGCGGCGCGUUAUUUCUUCGUCGGCGUGCGCGCGGAUAAUAUGUCGGCCAAGAAAAUCCGUUUUCGUCAACGGCGCUGACGACGACGAGACGUUUGCCGCGCGUUCCGCCCCGUUGACAAAACCGCUUUCUCGUGCGUUCGCGCGGAGUGCCGUCCGUUUUAUACCCCCGAGGAUUCCGCGGCGACCGGCCGUGCAGCUGUCAACGCGUGCAGCCGUCCACGCCGUCGUCCGGCCGCUGUCUCCGUCCGGCUUCACGUGUCUGUCCGUUCCAAAAUACGGUAUGAAUUCACUUGAUAAACAGCACGACCCUCGGGUAUCGCACGAGCACACGCCGCGAGGUUUAUCGAAAUCAUAUUUGUUAUUUUUUUUUUUUUUUUUUCCCCCGUCCGUCAUUAUUAGAGAAAAGUACGGUCUAUCGGGGUCAAUAUACAAUUGUGCAUAACAACGGUCGAAAAUAAUAACAGAAUCUGUCCGCGGACCGCGAACGAGGUUGGACCGCACUGCUCCCACCCACUACUUUCCGUAAAAUGUAACGUAACCGUUUCGAGCGUUUCGAGUGGCCACCAAAGUCCGACGACGGUACGAAAACGUUACGCUAUUUCGUCACCCUUCGUGUCAGAUUAGGACGCGGUUAGGUUACGGACGUAGGAUUGUAGGACGCUCGUCCCGGCUUUUUAGCGGACGGCUCCGUUCUGUCGCCGUUAUCCCCGUCGCGAUAAAGAACAAAACGAAUCAU
Molecule: non-coding RNA, 1209 nt
Organism: Cinara cedri
Lineage: Eukaryota; Metazoa; Arthropoda; Insecta; Hemiptera; Aphididae
Source: the annotation of a GenBank genome assembly